This 1138-nucleotide long non-coding RNA is filed under the name Malus domestica (apple). RNAcentral's name for it is "long non-coding RNA (MDOM_LNC019542)". Lineage: Eukaryota; Viridiplantae; Streptophyta; Magnoliopsida; Rosales; Rosaceae. The record is from RNAcentral.
UCAUAUGCAAACUAGUAACCUUCUCACGGGAUAUACACUCAAUCACAUAUGUGUUUAGUUUUAAUGUGUUCGCUCAAAGAAUCAAAUGUGAAAUUUCUACCAUAAGCUUGCAUAAAGAUCACUUCUCUAUAAUCAUAAUUGCAAAACUUAAAUCAAGAGGACUUUUAUUGGACGUAAUGAGGCUUAGCGAGAGGGUUAUUGAAAUGAAAGAAUAGGUAAACACAAGUUCCAAGCUACAUUGCAAGCAAUUCUUUUGUUUAGAUUUAUAAGAACUCAAUAUUUCCAGCGAUUCUUCUAGCACCUCCAACCAUACCCUUAAACUGAAACUUGAACAACUUUUUAUUUUCUUUGUGUACAAUUUUUCUUUUUCUUUUUCUUUUCUUCUCUUUUUUUCCUUUUUUUUUUUUUUUUUUUUUUUAAAUACAAACAUGAAAUACCCCCACACUUAUUCUUUUGCCAAACACCUUCAAAGUACUUCACAACCGUUUCUCAUAAGACAAUCUCGCAUUGCUCGCUUGGAAAUGGUAAGGAAAAAUAUUUCAGGUAUAAGGGUAGACAUAUCUGGUGAUAAGAAAUAAAAGGCUCAACAAACACGGCUCAAAUUGGCAAUCUAAUGAUAUCAUUUUUCUUUGGUAAACAUGGUUAUUUGGGCCAUAGUGGUAAACCUAAUGCCUCUAUCAUUUCCAAAUUCAUGCAAUCAAUGACAAACAUUUCGAAAGAUCGUUACGCAAGUUCUAGAGAUGUAUCUCACAUAAGUUCAUCACACAUAAAAAAAUAGGAGUGUAUGAAAAAUGCACACACUUUCAAUCGGCUCAAAAACUCACAUAGGAUGGUCACUAAAUUCACAUAUGAAGCUUUAAGUUAUGCUUUAGUUUCACAUCAACAAGGCUAUGUGCAUUUGGUUUUUCAAAGAUGAUCAAACAUAUACAAAACUAACAAAAGAAUUAGGAAUUUCACAAAACACAUGUUAACUAAGUUCUUGAUAAUCAUGAUUCAAAUUUGAUCUAAUUAUAUCAUUGGGUCGGGAAACUAACAAAAAAAAUCUGAUUCAGAACAAAAAGGGAAACAAGACAAUAUUUUUGGAUUUUUAAAUUUUCCGAUUUUUUUUUUUUUUUAUUUUUAUUAUUAUUAUUAUUAU